CCUACGGGAGGCAGCAGUGGGGAAUAUUGGACAAUGGGGGCAACCCUGAUCCAGCCAUGCCGCGUGUGUGAAGAAGGCCCUCGGGUUGUAAAGCACUUUCAGUGAGGAAGAACGCCUGGUGGUUAAUACCCAUCAGGAAAGACAUCACUCACAGAAGAAGCACCGUCUAACUCCGUGCCAGCAGCCGCGGUAAUACGGAGGGUGCGAGCGUUAAUCGGAAUUACUGGGCGUAAAGCGCGCGUAGGUGGCUUGAUAAGCCGGUUGUGAAAGCCCCGGGCUCAACCUGGGAACGGCAUCCGGAACUGUCAAGCUAGAGUGCAGGAGAGGAAGGUAGAAUUCCCGGUGUAGCGGUGAAAUGCGUAGAGAUCGGGAGGAAUACCAGUGGCGAAGGCGGCCUUCUGGACUGACACUGACGCUGAGGUGCGAAAGCGUGGGUAGCAAACAGGAUUAGAUACCCCAGUAGUC
RNAcentral lists this ribosomal RNA (465 nucleotides) under Vreelandella stevensii. Its description in RNAcentral is "partial 16S ribosomal RNA". It matches the Rfam family "Bacterial small subunit ribosomal RNA", at positions 338 to 795 of the family's 1533-position model. The record is from RNAcentral. Lineage: Bacteria; Pseudomonadati; Pseudomonadota; Gammaproteobacteria; Oceanospirillales; Halomonadaceae.